CAGUCGCCGCGGGAAUACGUAGGUCCCGAGCGUUGUCCGGAUUUAUUGGGCGUAAAGCGAGCGCAUGCGGUUAGAUAAGUUUGAAGUUAAAGGCUGUGGCUUAACCAUAGUACGCUUUGGAAACUGUUUAACUUGAGUGCAAGAGGGGAGAGUGGAAUUCCAUGUGUAGCGGUGAAAUGUGUAGAUAUAUGGAGGAACACCGGUGGCGAAAGCGGCUCUCUGGCUUGUAACUGACGCUGAGGCUCAAAAGCGUGGGGAGCAAACAGGAUUAGAUACCCCUGUAGUCCCUGUCUCUUAUACA
This 301-nucleotide ribosomal RNA is filed under the name uncultured bacterium. Its description in RNAcentral is "partial 16S ribosomal RNA". It matches the Rfam family "Bacterial small subunit ribosomal RNA", at positions 509 to 808 of the family's 1533-position model. The record is from RNAcentral.